AAUCUGCCCUUGGGUUCGGAAUAACUUCUGGAAACGGAAGCUAAUACCGGAUGAUGACGUAAGUCCAAAGAUUUAUCGCCCAAGGAUGAGCCCGCGUAGGAUUAGCUAGUUGGUGAGGUAAAGGCUCACCAAGGCUACGAUCCUUAGCUGGUCUGAGAGGAUGAUCAGCCACACUGGGACUGAGACACGGCCCAGACUCCUACGGGAGGCAGCAGUAGGGAAUAUUGGACAAUGGGCGAAAGCCUGAUCCAGCAAUGCCGCGUGAGCGAUGAAGGCCUUAGGGUUGUAAAGCUCUUUUACCCGGGAUGAUAAUGACAGUACCGGGAGAAUAAGCCCCGGCUAACUCCGUGCCAGCAGCCGCGGUAAUACGGAGGGGGCUAGCGUUGUUCGGAAUUACUGGGCGUAAAGCGCACGUAGGCGGCUAUUCAAGUCAGAGGUGAAAGCCCGGGGCUCAACCCCGGAAUUGCCUUUGAAACUAGAUAGCUUGAAUCCAGGAGAGGUGAGUGGAAUUCCGAGUGUAGAGGUGAAAUUCGUAGAUAUUCGGAAGAACACCAGUGGCGAAGGCGGCUCACUGGACUGGUAUGACGCUGAG
RNAcentral lists this ribosomal RNA (592 nucleotides) under Sphingomonas sp. RNAcentral's name for it is "bacterial SSU rRNA". It matches the Rfam family "Bacterial small subunit ribosomal RNA", at positions 123 to 750 of the family's 1533-position model. The record is from RNAcentral. Lineage: Bacteria; Pseudomonadati; Pseudomonadota; Alphaproteobacteria; Sphingomonadales; Sphingomonadaceae.